GUGGAAUUAGCUCAGUUGGUUAGAGCAUUGGUUUGUGGUGCCGAGGGUCACGGGUUCGAGCCCCGUAUUCCACCCCA
This 77-nucleotide transfer RNA is filed under the name Sulfurimonas sp. RNAcentral's name for it is "tRNA-His". It matches the Rfam family "tRNA". From Rfam's summary of the family: Transfer RNA (tRNA) molecules are approximately 80 nucleotides in length. Their secondary structure includes four short double-helical elements and three loops (D, anti-codon, and T loops). Lineage: Bacteria; Pseudomonadati; Campylobacterota; Epsilonproteobacteria; Campylobacterales; Sulfurimonadaceae. The record is from RNAcentral.